Molecule: small nuclear RNA, 143 nt
Organism: Saimiri boliviensis boliviensis (Bolivian squirrel monkey)
Lineage: Eukaryota; Metazoa; Chordata; Mammalia; Primates; Cebidae
Gene: U4
Rfam family: U4 spliceosomal RNA
About the family: U4 small nuclear RNA (U4 snRNA) is a component of the major U2-dependent spliceosome.
Source: Ensembl
AGCUUUGUGCAGUGGCAGUAUUGCAGCCAAUGAGGUUUAUCCGAGGCAUGACUGUUGCUAAUUGAAAACUUCCCAAUACCCCGCCAUGACAACUUGAAAUACAGUCAGCUUUGGCAAUUUUUGGCAGUCUCUACGGCAGGCGA